Molecule: ribosomal RNA, 205 nt
Filed under: Salmonella enterica subsp. enterica serovar Typhimurium
Lineage: Bacteria; Pseudomonadati; Pseudomonadota; Gammaproteobacteria; Enterobacterales; Enterobacteriaceae
Description: partial 23S ribosomal RNA
Rfam family: Bacterial large subunit ribosomal RNA
Source: RNAcentral
GGGUUGUGAGGUUAAGCGACUAAGCGUACACGGUGGAUGCCCUGGCAGUCAGAGGCGAUGAAGGACGUGCUAAUCUGCGAUAAGCGCCGGUAAGGUGAUAUGAACCGUUAUAACCGGCGAUUUCCGAAUGGGGAAACCCAGUGUGAUUCGUCACACUAUCAUUAACUGAAUCCAUAGGUUAAUGAGGCGAACCGGGGGAACUGAA